This 80-nucleotide microRNA precursor is filed under the name Medicago truncatula (barrel medic). RNAcentral's name for it is "MIR5269 microRNA precursor family". It matches the Rfam family "MIR5269 microRNA precursor family". The record is from Rfam by way of RNAcentral. Lineage: Eukaryota; Viridiplantae; Streptophyta; Magnoliopsida; Fabales; Fabaceae.
UUUGGUGAAAUCUAUGUGGAUAUCACAUUUUAGAAAUGGACCUUACAUAAAGUGGUGAGACCCGCGUAGUUUUCAUCCAA